AUUGAACGCUGGCGGCAUACCUUACACAUGCAAGUCGAACGGUAACAGGUCUUCGGAUGCUGACGAGUGGCGAACGGGUGAGUAAUACAUCGGAACGUGCCUAGUAAUGGGGGAUAACUACUCGAAAGAGUGGCUAAUACCGCAUGGGAUCUACGGAUGAAAGCAGGGGAUCGCAAGACCUUGUGCUACUAGAGCGGCCGGUGGCAGAUUAGGUAGUUGGUGGGAUAAAAGCUUACCAAGCCGACGAUCUGUAGCUGGUCUGAGAGGACGAUCAGCCACACUGGGACUGAGACACGGCCCAGAGUCCUACGGGAGGCAGAAGUGGGGAAUUUUGGACAAUGGGCGAAAGCCUGAUCCAGCAAUGCCGCGUGCAGGAUGAAGGCCUUCGGGUUGUAAACUGCUUUUGUACGGAACGAAAAGCCCCGGGUUAAUACCCUGGGGUCAUGACGGUACCGUAAGAAUAAGCACCGGCUAACUACGUGCCAGCCGCCGCCGUAA
Molecule: ribosomal RNA, 498 nt
Filed under: uncultured bacterium
Lineage: Bacteria
Description: partial 16S ribosomal RNA
Rfam family: Bacterial small subunit ribosomal RNA
Source: RNAcentral